This 78-nucleotide transfer RNA is filed under the name Helianthus annuus (common sunflower). RNAcentral describes it as "tRNA-Sup". It matches the Rfam family "tRNA". Rfam says of the family: Transfer RNA (tRNA) molecules are approximately 80 nucleotides in length. Their secondary structure includes four short double-helical elements and three loops (D, anti-codon, and T loops). Lineage: Eukaryota; Viridiplantae; Streptophyta; Magnoliopsida; Asterales; Asteraceae. The record is from RNAcentral.
CUGUGGACCCGUCUAGCUCAGUUGGUAGAGCACAAGGCUUAACCUUGUGGUCGUGGAUUCGAGCCCCACGGUGGGCGC